This 433-nucleotide ribosomal RNA is filed under the name uncultured bacterium. RNAcentral describes it as "bacterial SSU rRNA". It matches the Rfam family "Bacterial small subunit ribosomal RNA", at positions 957 to 1391 of the family's 1533-position model. The record is from RNAcentral.
GAACGCGAAGAACCUUACCAUCCCUUGACAUGUCGUGCCAUCCGGAGAGAUCCGGGGUUCCCUUCGGGGACGCGAACACAGGUGCUGCAUGGCUGUCGUCAGCUCGUGUCGUGAGAUGUUGGGUUAAGUCCCGCAACGAGCGCAACCCACGUCCUUAGUUGCCAUCAUUCAGUUGGGCACUCUAGGGAGACUGCCGGUGAUAAGCCGCGAGGAAGGUGUGGAUGACGUCAAGUCCUCAUGGCCCUUACGGGAUGGGCUACACACGUGCUACAAUGGCGGUGACAGUGGGACGCGAAACCGCGAGGUUGAGCAAAUCCCCAAAAACCGUCUCAGUUCAGAUUGCACUCUGCAACUCGAGUGCAUGAAGGCGGAAUCGCUAGUAAUCGUGGAUCAGCAUGCCACGGUGAAUACGUUCCCGGGUCUUGUACACACC